UACAGAGACUGCAAGCGUUAUUCGGAUUCACUGGGCGUAAAGGGUGCGCAGGUGGCCAAGUGUGUUAGGCGUGAAAGCCCGGGGCUUAACCCCGGAAUUGCACCUAAAACUACUUGGCUAGAGCAUUGGAGAGGGGAGCAGAAUUCAUGGUGUAGCAGUGAAAUGCGUAGAUAUCAUGAGGAAUACCAGAGGCGAAGGCGGCUCCCUGGACAAUUACUGACACUCAGGCACGAAAGCGUGGGGAGCAAAAGGG
This 253-nucleotide ribosomal RNA is filed under the name uncultured bacterium. RNAcentral's name for it is "partial 16S ribosomal RNA". It matches the Rfam family "Bacterial small subunit ribosomal RNA", at positions 524 to 776 of the family's 1533-position model. The record is from RNAcentral.